Molecule: ribosomal RNA, 468 nt
Filed under: uncultured bacterium
Lineage: Bacteria
Description: partial 16S ribosomal RNA
Rfam family: Bacterial small subunit ribosomal RNA
Source: RNAcentral
GACGAACGCUGGCGGCGUGCUUAACACAUACAAGUCGAACGGAAAGGCGCUGCUCUUGUGGCGUGCUCGUGUGCCGCACGGGGGAGUAACACGUGAGUAACCUGCCCCUGACUUUGUGAUAUCUCUACGAAACUGGGGCUAUAACCGCAUAGGAGCUCAUGCUCCAUAGGGGUGGUUGGAAAGUUUCGGCGUUUGUGGCUGGGUUGGCGGCUUAUGAGCUUGUUGGUGGGGUAGUGGCUUACAAAGGCUUUGACGGGUAGCCGGCCUGGGAGGGUGACCGGCGACAAUGGGACGGAGGGAGGGCGCAGAAGGCUACGGGAGGCAGCAGUGGGGAAUAUUGCACAGUAAGCGGAAGCCUGAUGCAGCAGCGCCGCGUGCGGGAUGACGGCCUUCGAGUUGUAAACAGCUGUCGACUGAGACGAAGCGUGAGUGACGGUAAUGGGUAAAGAAGCACCGGCUAACUACGUG